CAUCUGGUCACAGCUUGAUCAGCACACACCCAUAUCUCAUGGGCAACCUGAUUUAUGAGCCUAAAAUCAUGGCUAACAAGCACCAUGCCACCAUCCCAUUCAUUCAAUGCCUCAGCCAAUGAGUCAAUUGUUUCUAUAUCCAAAUGGUUCGUUGGCUCAUCCAAAAGUAGCAGGUGAGGCUGUCUAUAAGCUAACCAUGCGAAUAUCACACGGCUCCUCUGCCCAUCGGAUAAAUUCUUCAUAGGCAUGACCUGCGCUUUGCCAGACAGUCCAAAUUUCCCAAUGGCUGCUCUCAUCCUCUCCUCCUCGUUUC
Molecule: unclassified non-coding RNA, 313 nt
Filed under: uncultured bacterium
Lineage: Bacteria
Description: contains 16S-23S intergenic spacer region
Source: RNAcentral